Molecule: long non-coding RNA, 2746 nt
Filed under: Cricetulus griseus (Chinese hamster)
Lineage: Eukaryota; Metazoa; Chordata; Mammalia; Rodentia; Cricetidae
Description: lncRNA (ENSCGRG00015031246.1)
Source: RNAcentral
UGAAGGUCUGGCUGAAUGUAUAUUGUUGACAUAGGCAAAGCCAUGACAAAGAUCAAGGCCUCAGCCCAUGGCAAAUUGGCAAUGCCUUUCCCCAUAUGGGUUUGUCCUGCUCAAAAUGGCAAAGCCUUCUUCCUCUGGUUCAAGUAUGAAAGUGUAAGGAUUAUUGAUCAGUGUGCACCCAAACUAGAAACUUCAGCUUCCUCCCCCAAGAGGUUUACAGCCAGAGACUGCUUUCCUCCAGAGACCUCCUCCUCCUGGGACUAGCUAACUGUGCUGAAGUUCCCAGCGGUGGUGGUAUAGGUGUGGUUCCAUCAAACUGCAUAGUCCAUCUGAUCCAUCUUUUCUCUGUGUGUCUGUCAAUUCCUCAUCCCCUUGUUGCCCCAGUCAGGGUUCCAGAUCAAAGUUGUGUGGGUUGCAGCUGUACUCUCAACACAUUUAGUGUCUGUCUUAAUUCCUACUCCAUACAUAGUAGGUAUUCAAUAAGUUAGUUAUUAAUGAUGAGAAAUAAUGGUGAUCUUUCAAUAAAUAAUGCAUUAAAUGAAUGCAUUAAAAUAAAAAUAAAAUGGAGAUCACGAGUAAAAGAGGACAGAGUAUCUUUUCUGAAUGUACUGUUGUGUUGUGAGUGCUGUAAAGAUGAUCUUAAAGAAUUUUGUGAACCCCAAAAUACUAUUACCAACAUUAAGCGUUUUCAUGGAAUUCAUGCUUUUUAUCGCAAACUUACCAUUAGUGUUAUAUGAAAAACAAUAAUAUACAAGCUUAGGUUCUUGAUUCUGAGAAACUAGCAACUCCUGAGUGCCAAAUACAUUUAAAUGAAGUAAUUGAAAGGAAAACAAGAGAUAUAUGGUCCCACGAACACAGGAACACUUCUGGUCCCCAGGUAGCCAAAAUGCCUUUAUUAUUUUGUUGGUGAAUUUGACUGCUCACAUUUGUCAAGGCAUCAGCAUUAAUUUCAAUAAUAGCAUGGUUUGUAACAUUAGGUACUGUUAUGGGUGGUUUAUAUCUCUGAUUAUCUGCAAAUAGGAACAAUAACUCCUGAUAUAAUUCUAUGAUCGACUGAGAGAAUGUAAACCAGGUUCUUCAAAUUGAGUUGUCAUUAUCAAUGUACAGAGGGUUCAUUUUUCUGCUCUUUUGAUGUAUAGAUAAUAUUUAUUUUCUUACUAUGCUAGUAGUUGGUACUUAGGUUUAUCUAGUUUGUAUUUUUCCCUGGAGGGAAAAUAAUUUGGUCCUAGAGCAUAUUGGGUGGGGUGCUUGACGAAAUGUGAGUUAAAGAAUACAUCCUUUGGCAGAAGGGACACAUCUUACUAUUGAAAAUGUAAACUGAGUACUUAUGGGAUGGAAGAUGAGGGUUACUGGGGAGAAGAUUGAUUGGCACUCUUGGUAGUUGAUUCGCCCAUUGACUUUUUGCUUCUGUUUCUUGAUGUGCCUUUCUAGAAGCCAUUUGUUGCUGUUGGAUUACGAUUUCAGUGCUCCUACACUGCCUUCCUGGACAGUUAUUCCAUAGGUGGCAUUCACAUCAUCCAGACUCCUCCAUUGUCUUGCUUGUUUUUCGCCAUUAUACUUAGGGAAUGUUCUGGAAAUGCAACAUCCUGAGGUUAGGAGGGAGAUGCAUAGAACAUUCUAGGCUCAGUUCUAGCUUUUCAUAGAACAAGGUUUUCACCACAUUCUCACAGUCAGUAAUAUGACCAUGGAGACAUAAAUUCCAAUGCACUUUGCUUUUGGGGAACUUCUCAUCUGGUAUAAGUGGAACAGUCAAGGCCUCAUCUACUCCAGGAAGUUUUCUGGGCUAAGACUUAGAGCAAAUUCUUGACUUCUGUUGUGUCUUGCUGCCUAUCUGAAAGUAAUAAAACUGCUUCAUGUAAAUUCAUCUACAUGUGGGUAUUCUGUUUCAUCAGAUAGAUGAGUUGAUAAUCAGUACACAAUGAAAUGGCUUCAUACUUCCUGCUAUCUGAAGUCCUUAAGCAUGAGAAGGAAUGAUUGAUGGCGUGUGAGUGAGUGGUGCCUGUCAAAUCCACAAACAAGACUGCUGCAAUUCAUUGUUAGCUCGGCCAAGUUAACAAUGGUUGCACAGCGCAGGACCAAUUGGGCUUUAAACUAAAUCCCUAUUUCUGUGCAAACGGCUGAUUUGUUGACUCCUUCUAGAGUAAGGCUGGCUACAUGGAACCGUGAGAAGCUGAACUGUGGAGACAAGAACAGUAUUUUUUCCCCAAUGGUCAAGUUCUGUGGUGGCCUUCUGGAACAGAUUGAAUUACUUCCACAUCUUCUGAUGUAUUUUUUUCCCUUUGCUCUCUAAAACUAGAAGUAACAUUUAAAAAUCAUGUCCAUUUCAAAGUUAAAAUAUCUUCAUUUUCUUCAUUUUAAAGGUUCUUUUUUUUUUCUGAUUCUGUGCUUCAGUGAACACGUUUAUUUCCAAGCACCAAGAGCAACAGGAGCUCCUUCAGACUGUAUCAGCUUACAAGCCAGUGUGCAAAGACAGGAUGAAAAACCACAGGCUUAUGGGAUGCUUCCUGUAGGGGCCAAAUUGCUUGCCACUCUUGCUUCACCAAGCUGUCUAGAAAAACAUUUGGUUUCCAGAUGUUCAGUAUGACAGGACCCUUGUUCUUUUUCAGGAUCCAUGGGACUUGUACUAUCCAAGAUACCAUCAGAAUGUUUUUCCAUAGUGUUUUCAGGUAAACAUGUAAAGGCUAGGACAAGAAGACAGGAUAGGACUUCCCUCAAAGAACAGUACCUGAAGCUGACUACAGUCUAC